RNAcentral lists this transfer RNA (66 nucleotides) under Encyrtus aurantii. RNAcentral's name for it is "tRNA-Ser". The record is from RNAcentral. Lineage: Eukaryota; Metazoa; Arthropoda; Insecta; Hymenoptera; Encyrtidae.
AAUUAUUAAGCUUUUAAAGCAUUAUGUUUUGAAUACAUAAAAAAAGAAAUAAAUUUCUAAUAAUUU